GCAUAUCAAUAAGCGGAGGAAAAGAAACUAACAAGGAUUCCCCUAGUAACUGCGAGUGAAGCGGGAAAAGCUCAAAUUUAAAAUCUGGUGGUCUUUGGCCAUCCGAGUUGUAAUUUAGAGAAGCGUCUUCCGCGCUGGACUGUGCACAAGUCUCCUGGAAUGGAGCGUCAUAGAGGGUGAGAAUCCCGUCUUUGGCACGGAUGUCCCAGGGCUUUUGUGAUGCGCUCUCGAAGAGUCGAGUUGUUUGGGAAUGCAGCUCAAAAUGGGUGGUGAACUCCAUCUAAAGCUAAAUAUUGGCGAGAGACCGAUAGCGAACAAGUACCGUGAGGGAAAGAUGAAAAGCACUUUGGAAAGAGAGUGAAACAGUACGUGAAAUUGUUGAAAGGGAAACGCUUGAAGUCAGUCGCGUCGACCGAGACUCAGCCUUGCCUCGGCUUGGUGUACUUCUCGGCUGACGGGCCAGCAUCAAUUUUGCCCCUUGGAUAAUGGCGGGGGAAAUGUGACACCUUUACGGUGUGUUAUAGUCCCUCGUCGCAUGCAAGGGUCGGGAUUGAGGAACUCAGCACGCGCCUUUGGCGUCGGGGCUUUGCCCACGAUACGUGCU
Molecule: ribosomal RNA, 604 nt
Filed under: uncultured Russula
Lineage: Eukaryota; Fungi; Basidiomycota; Agaricomycetes; Russulales; Russulaceae
Description: eukaryotic LSU rRNA
Rfam family: Eukaryotic large subunit ribosomal RNA
Source: RNAcentral